AUGCAGAAGAGACAGAAAAUGUUUGGUGAAUGUUUGUAAGGGCAUGAGAGCACAGAGGUCAGCACAGUUGGGAGACAACAGAACUGCUGCAGGAAACAGCCUGGGCCAAAGACCUAUCGCAAGGCCAAAAAGAAAACAUAAAAAGUUAAGUUGAGAGAGAAAAGUAUCACUUCUGCUGGUUUCCAGCCUCUGAGGAGUGUUCAUUUGUUGCUGUUGAAGUCUCCCUAAGCUCUCUGGCUAUCAGCACUGAGAAGCAGUGUUAGGACAGGACAGGCUCUUUAUCUGAGUUCCCAGUGUCUAAGCAGCUCCAUGCAGUCCAGCGGCAAUAUGGCUCUUUGUCUCCCACCCUCUCAUCCUCACUAGCACAAGCAGCAGCACAAGAUCAGAUGUGCUAGCAGGCAGCCAGUUUAAAUCUGCAAAUAUCGUUCAAUUAAUAUGGUGAGCUGCUUGCUGCAUGCCAAAAAAGCAUAAUAACACAUGAUAAGGAAAGAACAAAGGUGUACUAAAAAAGAAAACUAUCACAGAAAUAUAAGAAAUCUGUUUUCUAGUGGAACAACAGCCUGAAUAGUACAGUGUGAUAGUGCUUCAUUUUUAUUUUUUUCCUGUCCUGAAGUUAGCAAAUGGCAUUUACAGAUAUGAAAAGAAAUGUUGAGAUUUAAGCUAGCACAGUGUCAACUGGGAUUUAUGGUUUUCAAGACUGUCCCGAGUUGACCUGUGUCCAAGUUUUCUAUUAACCAAAUGGCCAAAGUUCACAGGGGUCUGGGUAUGUUGAGAAUUUAUUUUGGACCAUACUUGAUUUUACUUCUAUUUUCAGACAUGCCCAGAAAUUCUGUACGGAUGAUAAAGUCAAGCUACUUUUAUUAUCAUUCUCAGUUAUCAGUUCACAGGAGGGACAGUUCAAUGGCUUCUGGUUGAAAUAUAAGCCUUGUAUAUAUUUUCAUUUUUAUUUUUUCCCCUCUCUAUCUCAAAGGAGAAUGAAACUGUGCCUUAUUCUAGCUCACUCCUCCCAAGGUCAGUUGCAAAUUUUACUGAUCUUCUGCCUGCCAGAGGUGAUGAGGGAAGUUAAAGGUGCUAUCUUUCACAGUAGAUGUUGGUCCCAUGUCCAUUUAAAAACUUUGUAGGAUUUCUGCCAGGAUAUGGGUAACUAGAAUCUAUCUUGAUUAAGUACUUAUGUAAGUUUAAAAGUGCAACCUAAAUCCCUUUUCCUCAAAUCACAGUGCUACACUGAGAUAUAGUAUUCUUUUUAUUCCCAGACCUCCACUGCUCUCAGACACAGAACAGCUGGUAUAUUUUCUCCUUGAAAUGGGUGAAGUGCUUUCUUCAUUUACAAAAUUGUAAAAGCUUUUGGACUGCUAUAAUGAAUGGGAUGCACAAGUGAAGCACACUGUAAAAAUAACAAAGAAAAGAAAGUACCUUUUAUGUUCUCUUUAAACCCAGAGCUUCUCUGUGUGCUCUGAACCUGCAAGUGCUAUUGACUGGGAGAUCAAGGUGCCGAGCCUGCUGGUGAUUAAGCACUUUGUAUUUACUGGUAUCCCACCAGCUAAUCAAUUCUCCCAGCCCUCCAUGUUCAUUCCUAUUGCCCAUUAGAACUAUUAUGCUUCACAGUCUCCUGUAAUGAUUUAAAUAUCAGACAGUUCAGUCUGUUGCCUGUCCUAAAAAAUUUGGCUAACCAGAAAGGAACAUGUUAGCACAGAAGAAAAAUCCAAUGGUAUUUCCUAAAUAAUUUAUUUUCUUAGAAUUAGAAAGGCAAAAGAGGUCUACAAGAUUAGAUCACAAUUCCGUUCUUGGAGUAUUCUUGUAAAUUAUUGCUGAAUAUACAUCUAUAGAUAGUGCAUAUACCCAUUGGAGUCAGUCUCCAUUUUUGUCCCAUACACUGAUUCCUCUCAUUUAUCAAUACCUGUACUUGCUUCAAAUCAAAACUGAUGUGGCUGCACUACAAUUCAAUUUUAAAGCAGGGGAUACCAAGGGAAGUACAUUUUGCAAGACAUUUGCAGGUUUAGUCCAGAAUGACACCUGAUGACUGUGCUUUUCAAAGCAGGACUCGCUGCUCUUAGGAUAUCAGACAGCUGGCCCACUCAGGUAUUCAGCUAUCUAAUAAAAAGUGAUUUCUCACAUAAUUUUCUCUUUUCUCAUUUAAGGCUGGAACAUAACACUGUGUGUGGAUUGCUCAUUUAGGUGCAACCUUCCGGUGGAACUAAGGUGUGGUGCCAACCAAAUCUACAGUUUUCAAAGGCAUUGCUGAAUAGAACUGCAACACAUUAACUAAGCCCAGAAAUCACCAGUAUUAAAAUUGCAGUUACGUGGACCAGGAGGUGUCAAGAGCAGGACAUACAGAAGAAAGUGUUUGGAAUACUUUAUCUGCCACAGCUCCUUGUGACCCACCUCUGCCUUCAUAUAUACAAGCACAGGUCCCAGUGAAGUCAAUGGAGUCGCACUUGCAUAUUUGAGAAGAGGUUUGAGGCCUUUCAUCUGAACACAACCAAGUAUGUUAUGAAUUAUUUUUAAAUUGUAUUAGCAAAAAACUAGCAUUUCUCCAGUGCUGUUUAUUCUAUUCAUUCUGUAUCAAUGAUUUAAAAAAAAAUUUUUUUAGGAAAUGCUUACAGGUGAAGUCACAUCUCAUAUCUGUUUAGCUGAAUUGUAAAUAUGAAAGAUAACUGGCUUGGAAUUAGGUAGCAGGGACUAAAAGUGCCUUUAGGAGUUUAAUCAAAUUUAUGCUUUUGAAUGUUGAAAGGAAUUACAAUUUAAAAUUUUUGAUAGAUGUAAUAAAUCAAAUUAAAUUUUCAAAGACCCCUUUGUUUAGCAUGAAUUUUAACUAUAGCAUAAACUAUUUCUUCCUCUACCUAUAAAAAAUGUGAAUUAUUCAUACCACCUGUAUUCAGUGACCUACCAAUGAACCUCCCCAAACCAGAAAUGAUCUCCUGCAGCAUAAAUAAUGAGUCCAUUGCCAGCCUCUGUGCUCAGAUGUCUAAAUGAAUCUUUCAAAGCUGUAAUUACAACUAAUGUUACAUUGUAUUUGGCUGAAGCAGAUGAUUUGUUGGUAAACAAGGAAUUUUGAAUACUCAGAGAGAAAUCUUUAAAGUGGAGUUUUCAGAAAUCAGAGAUCAAAAAACUUGAAAGUGACUUUGUUUGUAUGUUUCAGGUUUGAUUCUCAAAGCAAUCUUGCAGAUCUCACUGGUGGCAUUUAGGAUCUAUCUUAAGUUACUGUGAUUAGAUUCUUAUUUUGCUUUUCAUUACACACAAUAAUAGUGCAUUCCAGAAUUUCAAAUAAAUUUCCCCUACACAACAGUUCGCAAAUGAUAUUUCUCUUUCAUCACAUAAAUUCUUCAAUUUUCUCAAUUCGCUCUUGAGAAAAUUAAUAAAAUCCCUCCAAUAUUAACCUUCUCUAUCAAGCAAAAGAAAGUUCAUUGUUUUCAUUUUUUUCUUAAAUUUAUGCGAACAGUCUCCACAGUAGAUCUGAAACUGGCAAUGCUAUAUAUCUUUGCUGACUGACUGGAGGUGAAAAUGCAAAUUACUUUGAUUUGUUGACUUAAGUCUAAGUUAGGUCACAUAAAAGUGCAGCAUCAGCUAUUAAAAAUUCAUGAUUUUACUACUCUUCCAACCAUUGCUUUUAUUAAUGUUUCAACCAUGUAACAUCCUCAUGCUUCCUCUAGUGACAUGAGAUGGAGAAUGGACUGUGUUGACAAUAUUUUCCUUGCAAUGACACCAUCAUAACAGCUUUGAAACAAUGGGUCACCUCUGCUGGUGAAAAUUUUUAUGAGUGUGGCAUGCAGGCUCUUGAUCUUCACUGGCAAAAAAAAGCGUAGCUUAUGGUGGUGACUAUGUUGAAAAAGUAGCUGAGAGUUUGUAUCUUUUCUGAGCUGAGCUCUGUGCCUUUUCUACUUUCCAUGGAAAUAAAUAGGAGGCAUUCCUUUCUGAAAAACCUGUGUUCUAAAGGAUAAAGUAUUUUAAUAAAUUCUGAAACCUUAAAAUAUGAACGCAUCAUAUUCACUUAAAAGACCACAGACCUGUGUCUUUUGAUGAAAUCGUUGAAGAAUGCUGUAUAUAGGACAACAUAAACAGAAACCUACCUAGCUGCUUGCAUAUCCUUUUAAUAUUCAGUUCAGUACUAUGUAGUGUUAGUGUUUUUUUGUUUUUGUUUUUGUUUUUCAUCUGAUUAGGAGGUAUGAGCAGGUUUGUUUUCUUCCCUUUUCCUUUCAGCUAAGGUUUUUGCAGUGUAUGGGAUGCCUAAGUUGACACAGACCAUGUGAAAAAAAAAAA
This is a non-coding RNA of Meleagris gallopavo (turkey), 4257 nucleotides long. Lineage: Eukaryota; Metazoa; Chordata; Aves; Galliformes; Phasianidae. The record is from RefSeq and is a predicted model, not a curated record.